GAAUGGGAAGGGAAGACCAAUUUAUAAAAAUUAGGAACUGUCGAAUUCACCCCAAAUGGUAAAAUAUGGUGAAGAGAGAGAGGAAAAAGAUGCUCGACACGAAAAAUGAGGGAGGAAAGUCUCCUCUGUCGCCGGCAGCGGUUCAUUGCCUGAAGCGUCAGUGGCUUGCCUGGUGCGCUGCAGGUGCACAGGCCUCUUUCCGUGCACGCAGGGCCUAAGUGCGCUGGGCACCGCGCAUACAGGCCUACUGCGCGCAAGUUCUAGGCGCACAAGGGCCU
Molecule: long non-coding RNA, 278 nt
Filed under: Carica papaya (papaya)
Lineage: Eukaryota; Viridiplantae; Streptophyta; Magnoliopsida; Brassicales; Caricaceae
Description: long non-coding RNA (CPAP_LNC010094)
Source: RNAcentral